RNAcentral lists this ribosomal RNA (495 nucleotides) under uncultured bacterium. RNAcentral's name for it is "bacterial SSU rRNA". It matches the Rfam family "Bacterial small subunit ribosomal RNA", at positions 27 to 507 of the family's 1533-position model. The record is from RNAcentral.
GGAUGAACGCUAGCUACAGGCUUAACACAUGCAAGUCGAGGGGCAGCAUGAUUGAAGCUUGCUUCAAUUGAUGGCGACCGGCGCACGGGUGAGUAACACGUAUCCAAACCUUCCGUACACUCAGGGAUAGCCUUUCGAAAGAAAGAUUAAUACCUGAUGGUAUCUUAAGCACACAUGUAAUUAAGAUUUAAAAGAUUUAUCGGUGUACGAUGGGGAUGCGUUCCAUUAGGUAGUAGGCGGGGUAACGGCCCACCUAGCCUACGAUGGAUAGGGGGUUCUGAGAGGAAGGUCCCCCACAUUGGAACUGAGACACGGUCCAAACUCCUACGGGAGGCAGCAGUGAGGAAUAUUGGUCAAUGGACGAGAGUCUGAACCAGCCAAGUAGCGUGAAGGAUGAAGGUCCUACGGAUUGUAAACUUCUUUUAUAAGGGAAUAAAACCUCCCACGUGUGGGAGCUUGUAUGUACCUUAUGAAUAAGCAUCGGCUAACUCCGUG